RNAcentral lists this long non-coding RNA (357 nucleotides) under Ananas comosus (pineapple). RNAcentral describes it as "long non-coding RNA (ACOM_LNC028653)". Lineage: Eukaryota; Viridiplantae; Streptophyta; Magnoliopsida; Poales; Bromeliaceae. The record is from RNAcentral.
AAAUUAAUCACGAUCGACUACAUCUUGCACUAUCGAGAAAAAUUCUUUAUACUAUAUAAAAUAAGAUCAAUAUCUUUGAUCUAAAAUUUUAAUAUAUAUAUAUAUAUAUAUAUGAGUGAGGCUAAUAUGCUUCUGGAAGCACGGAGCCCUUCGUGCUUUCAAGUUGUUUUCGAUGUUGGGAUUUUCGAAUCGACAAUCGUCUCCGUUAAACUUGAUCUAGAGUAUUUGAAAUACUUAGAAAAUAAAUUUUGUGAUUUUUCGAUAUCAUGUGUCUAGUGAUCGAAGGAGAUCAAAAUCAAUAUAUAUUUCUUAUAUAUAUUGAAAUAAUAUAGUACUUGAAAAUAUACUAUAUUUAGU